CCUACGGGAGGCAGCAGUGAGGAAUAUUGGUCAAUGGGCGGGAGCCUGAACCAGCCAAGCCGCGUGAGGGAAGAAGGUACAGCGUAUCGUAAACCUCUUUUGUCAGGGAACAAAGUCGGGGACUCGUCCCCUGAUGAGGGUACCUGACGAAAAAGCAUCGGCUAACUCCGUGCCAGCAGCCGCGGUAAUACGGAGGAUGCGAGCGUUAUCCGGAUUUAUUGGGUUAAAAGGGUGCGCAGGCGGCCGGUUAAGUCAGCGGUAAAAGCCCGGGGCUCAACCCCGGCGAGCCGUUGAAACUGGCGGGCUGGAGUUGGAGAGAAGUAAGCGGAAUGCGCGGUGUAGCGGUGAAAUGCUUAGAUAUCGCGCAGAACCCCGAUUGCGAAGGCAGCGUACCGGCUCCACACUGACGCUGAGGCACGAAAGCGUGGGUAUCGAACAGGAUUAGAUACCCCAGUAGUC
This 459-nucleotide ribosomal RNA is filed under the name uncultured bacterium. RNAcentral describes it as "partial 16S ribosomal RNA". It matches the Rfam family "Bacterial small subunit ribosomal RNA", at positions 338 to 795 of the family's 1533-position model. The record is from RNAcentral.